RNAcentral lists this unclassified non-coding RNA (352 nucleotides) under soil metagenome. Its description in RNAcentral is "partial contains 5.8S ribosomal RNA, internal transcribed spacer 2, and large subunit ribosomal RNA". The stretch from base 1 to 120 matches the Rfam family "5.8S ribosomal RNA", at positions 35 to 154 of the family's 154-position model. The record is from RNAcentral.
GAUGAAGAACGCAGCGAAAUGCGAAAAGUAAUGUGAAUUGCAGAAUUCAGUGAAUCAUCGAAUCUUUGAACGCACAUUGCGCCCGCUGGUACUCCGGCGGGCACGCCUGUCCGAGCGUCAUUUCAACCCUCAAGCCCUCCUUCGGGAUGGGCCUUGUGUUGGGGCUCGGCCGCCAUCUCCGGCGGCCGUCCCCUAAAUACAGUGGCGGUCACGUCGCGACUCCUUUGCGUAGUAGAAACACCUCGCUCCGGAUAGCAACGCGGUCCACGCCGUAAAACCCCCAAUUUUCAAUGGUUGACCUCGGAUCAGGUGGGAAUACCCGCUGAACUUAAGCAUAUCAAUAAGCGGAGGA